This 309-nucleotide ribosomal RNA is filed under the name Triticum aestivum (bread wheat). RNAcentral describes it as "partial small subunit ribosomal RNA". Lineage: Eukaryota; Viridiplantae; Streptophyta; Magnoliopsida; Poales; Poaceae. The record is from RNAcentral.
AUGAGUUUGCAUUCUAUCUCUUUGGACGCUCCUUCUUGGACACAAGUGCAUCAGCAAACUGGUGCAGGUGCAAACAAACGCCCCGAGCUGGUUGCGGACAGUCUAGACAUCGACAACCUCGAGUUUUUAUCUGCAGUCCGAAAAGGCAUAUACUCGAAUUAUGCCCCAGUUAUUCCAAGACACCCGCAUUGGUUAUGUAAGCACUCAUUAACAUAUUAUUAUGCACAUCAAAAUUUUCUUGAUCUUAACUACAUAUUCAACUAUUUUGAGGAAUCAUAUCACCUCCAGGAUGCCAGAAAUAUUAGUUAA